This is a non-coding RNA of Phoenix dactylifera (date palm), 82 nucleotides long. The record is from RefSeq and is a predicted model, not a curated record. NCBI's taxonomy places the organism in Eukaryota, Viridiplantae, Streptophyta, Magnoliopsida, Arecales, Arecaceae.
UUUUUCCUUCAGGUCAAGGGCAAAACCCUACUCAGAUGCUGAGAUUAAGACUGCUUUCAGAGCAAAAGCAAUGGAGUACCAC